AACUUGCAGGGGUAAUUAUUCAGCUUGAGAAGGAUUCCUUGAUACGAAUCCUCUCUUUCACAAUACCAAUACCGUGGGUGGUUGCAAUUUUUUUAGGAAAAAAAAAAACAAGAGUAGUUUGCAAGGUGGUGAGGAACUGAGGAAGGCUGUUUUAUUUCUGGAAAACCAUUUACCUAUUGCUCUAGGAAAUGUUAGGAAUGUGUAAAAAAAAUUACCUUGCACUAUUGCAACUAUUUUGUCCAUUCUGGUUCUGGGGCCACAAGCAAGACCACUGAAAUGCAACAGGCCUACCCUCGAUUGUGAGUUGUGACAGCAUAGAGGGGGAUCAGGGCCUCAGGGGUGGUGUGGUGAUUGAAGAUUCUAGCAUAUAUUGGUGUAGGGGCCAACCAAAAUUUGUCCUCUCUACGGAUGGGGUGUCUAGUUGGUGAAAAAGUUUGGGUUUGGGUACUAUAGCAAAUUUCAUUGUUAUUUGGUAAUUAAUGUCCAAUCAUAGAUUAAUUAGGUUUAAAAGAUUCGUAUCGUCCUAAUCAGUUAAACUGUGUAAUUAGUUAUUUUUUUCAACUACAUUUAAUGCUCCAUGCAUGUGUUCGAAAAUUCAAUGUGAUAGGUACUGUGCAAAAUUUUUUGGAACUAGACGCUGCCUCAGAGAAUGGCAAACCACAGCUGAUUCAGGGACAACUACCGCAAAAAAGUUCUUUACUCGGGGAGGUUAAAAAGUACAAGUUAUUCCAACGCUCCAGUGUGCAGGGAUCAAUAAACUAGCAAACAUAAUUGUGGUUUGGGUGGAGAUACAUGUGAUCCGGAUACCAAAGUCCAAUUUGAGAGGUUAAUCAUAUGAUGGAGCAAUAGAUUUUCCAUUCCCAACACUGUUCCAGUUUUGGAAGUGCUUUAAAUAUUUUCAAUAUGUUACUUUGUAUUUGUACUACGCCCAUUUUGCUUGAUUCCUCCCAUGUGAACGUGUUUCUGCGCCCUGAUCAGGGAGGAAUGCGAUAAAAUAGGCUUUGAUUCAUUAUUCCAUGACCGCACAGGAAUCUCGGUGCCUCUUGGCGAUGCAACAAGGCCAGCACAGUACAGAUCGCUUGUCUCAAUUGGAUGAAGAGUAGAAGACACUAGUUGGAGAAUGACAUCAAUGAUAUUAUGAUAAAGUGCAAGGCACCAAGAAUGCUCGUCUGUGAGGAUUAUCAUUCACUUCAAGGAGGUGAGCACCCAUGUUACAGCCUCGUCAGGUUUGGGCCCCUCUGUCCAUGGAGGCAUGGAGCAGCUCUCAAUUGCAAGAGAUGAUCAAUUUUCACAGGUAACUUUGGCAAAUCUGAGGGGCUCAUCACAUUAAUAAUUGAGUCAUGCAAUGCAACAGUGUGGCACGCAAUCAUGGGAUACUCGGAAUCUGACAACCAAUCUGAAAUCGAAAUCUCGGGGCUGUACUGAACUGCAUCGAACCGUGGGAGUUUGAAUAUUCCAAGUCAAGGGAGGCGGAUUCAUUAUCUUAGACGAGUAUAAUUUCGGAUUUGCUAUGUGCACCAGGAGCAGCAUCCACGGGAGGGCAAACCUUCAGGCACUAGUGCAUGAUGGAGCUCUGAAAGCAGCAGCCGCUGAAAGCUACUGCUUCUGCAUCCCUGACGUUUGCCGAGCGAAUGGUGUGCUUGGAAGAAGCUCGGUCCGGUCUCCUUGAUCGUGUGUGGAUUACUAAUGUCGUGAAGUUUAAGGAAGCUGUACAUAGUAUAAAUGUAUAAGUGAAGUAUCUGGCCAGAAUAAAGGCCAAGGGACUUGUUGAAGCUCUGAACUUACAUAGUGCUGAACUCACCGGGGUGGUGCUUGUGCAAAGUUUCAGUAAGUUGCAAAGGAGAAUAAGGUCAGAAUUGCCCAAAUGUCUACUGAUCUUUCCUAGAGCACAUCAUGCGAACUAUUUUCUUCGGUGAACAAAAUUAUAUCUGUCGACAAAGGUCAUGCAAACUAUAGUGCAUAACAUCCCAUGGUUCACCUGUUGUGUUUUCUGACUAUAUAUAUAGUGUAAUCGCAGUCCUAAUUGUUUGGUUUUACAUAUGAAUGAGUCUGUGGACAGUACAUACAGAAAUUCAGGCAUGAUUCAGU
This is a long non-coding RNA of Panicum virgatum (switchgrass), 2088 nucleotides long. RefSeq lists it as uncharacterized. The transcript has 4 exons. The record is from RefSeq and is a predicted model, not a curated record. NCBI's taxonomy places the organism in Eukaryota, Viridiplantae, Streptophyta, Magnoliopsida, Poales, Poaceae.